This 253-nucleotide ribosomal RNA is filed under the name uncultured bacterium. RNAcentral's name for it is "partial 16S ribosomal RNA". It matches the Rfam family "Bacterial small subunit ribosomal RNA", at positions 524 to 776 of the family's 1533-position model. The record is from RNAcentral.
UACGUAGGGGGCUAGCGUUGCUCGGAAUCACUGGGCGUAAAGCGCACGUAGGCGGCUUUCUAAGUCAGGGGUGAAAUCCUGGAGCUCAACUCCAGAACUGCCCUUGAUACUGGAGAGCUUGAGUUCGGGAGAGGUGAGUGGAACUGCGAGUGUAGAGGUGAAAUUCGUAGAUAUUCGCAAGAACACCAGUGGCGAAGGCGGCUCGCUGGCCCGAUACUGACGCUGAGGUGCGAAAGCGUGGGGAGCAAACAGG